Molecule: long non-coding RNA, 1622 nt
Organism: Bombus huntii
Lineage: Eukaryota; Metazoa; Arthropoda; Insecta; Hymenoptera; Apidae
Exons: 2
Source: RefSeq, a predicted model, not a curated record
AUGAAGUUCAUCAUCUAAUCCUAGUUUAUUUUCUUGCAGCAUCUAAAUUUCAUGAAAAAGAUUAAGAAGAUGGUUUUGGGUUUUUGUUCGAAGAAACAAAGACGAUCAUGCGAUGAUACAGUAACGAAUGAUUAAUUGUUUGAGAGGAGGGGUUUGGCUGAUCUGCCACAAUUUUAUCAGUCGUGCAGGGGCUCUGGCGGCAAUCCAGCCGCCACGGUGAUUACCUAUUUUACGCGUUAAAAUAAAUCUCUUGCUCUGUCGCGACUUCUCGGCCGUAUGAAAACCGGCAUGCGUACGCUGCCUUUUGUCUGCCGGAUUCCCAUUCAAGCAAACCCGAUGCUCGGGCUCUCGUGUUCGUCAGACACGACAAAUCGUCGAUUCACCGAUAUUUCCGGUCCGUGAAUCGUCGACCUAGUCAUGUCAAUCGAUACGAUGUUCUCGUGCUAACAAUUAACCACAAUUAACAACGGUUGAAAUAAAUUCAGGUGUCACGUUCAAAACAUACAAUGCCUGAUCAUUUAUGACUGCAUUAUUAUUGCCUCUACAGUAGCGCACGAAAUCAAACGAAUUGAGCGGAUAUCUGUGGAAACUUUUUAUGGGUAUGUUAUGUGUUAUACGAAACAUUUUGAAAUGUCAUUAAUAUUGUAACAAGGCGUGAUUAUGACAAUUGUAUUGAUAAAGUUUGGAACAAAUUAGCAAGUGUAUAUGGAUGCUACAAGAUAUUUAAUGUAAAUAUGUAUUUCACAGAGAUUGCAAAACUAUUUAAACAAUUUUCAAGCAAAUGGAAAAUAGAAUGCAAGGUAAAAGAUUACGAGAUGGCUAAGUACUACGUUUCCACGUGCAUGAGGACGAAUGCUAUCGAUUCCAUUGCAGUUCAGAUUGCGACUAAAACCACUUGGUGGCCGCUUUAACGAACGUUCCGGAGGAAGAUCGUCGGGACAGCACCGAGCAUACGAUGCACCGGGUAAUGUUGUACAACGCAGAAUUAAGAAACAUUGACCAAGGAGCGGUUCGGGGUUGCGGUUUAACAGAAAUCAAUUGGUAUUUGUGAUUACGCAAUAAUGGCUGGCCAAAUUCGUCGAUCGCCCCGCUUCGGCGACUGUUUAAGAUUCCAGCACGAUGAAACAAUGAAUAAAAAGGACAGGAAGAGAAAGAAAAUUAAUUGGUAAUAACAUCCUGUCGAAGCUCUCUUUAAAAGAAUCGACGAUUAUGAGUUAUAUGUUUAAGUUAGGUCGAAGCUAGACAAUUCCAAAUUAGGUAUCGAUUUAAAAUUAUUCUCGAACCAUUCACAUGAAGGAUAAAAUAAGUUACAAGGUGCUUGAAAUAAUUAGAGGAUCGUCCUUACUCGAAUGAAUUUAUUGCUCAGCAAGUUAUUCAAUAGCUUGAAGGCUUGGUAAAUACUAUAUUGAAUUGUGUAUUUAGUAGAAACGUUAAUAAUUUUCAAAAUAAAAGAUACAGAACGUUAAUAAUUUUAAAGAUGAAAAUCACAAAAGAAUGUUUUUGAUCGUAUUUCUCAUUUCUUGAUAAUGUAUUAAAAAUUCAUAUAUUUCAACGUUAACAAAUACUUUUAAGAAUUUCAGAUCGACUCGGUUGAAAAAAAAUCGCAUUUGAAUACUCGGUAA